RNAcentral lists this ribosomal RNA (466 nucleotides) under uncultured bacterium. RNAcentral describes it as "bacterial SSU rRNA". It matches the Rfam family "Bacterial small subunit ribosomal RNA", at positions 28 to 490 of the family's 1533-position model. The record is from RNAcentral.
GAUGAACGCUGGCGGCGUGCUUAACACAUGCAAGUCGAACGAAGCACUUAUGAAAGAUUCUUCGGAUGAUGGAUUAAGUGACUGAGUGGCGGACGGGUGAGUAACGCGUGGGUAACCUGCCUCAUACAGGGGGGAUAACAGUUAGAAAUGACUGCUAAUACCGCAUAAGCGCACAGUAUCGCAUGAUACCGUGUGAAAAACUCCGGUGGUAUGAGAUGGACCCCGCGUCUGAUUAGCUAGUUGGUGAGGUAACGGCUCACCAAGGCGACGAUCAGUAGCCGGCCUGAGAGGGUGAACGGCCACAUUGGGACUGAGACACGGCCCCAAAAUCCUACGGGGAGGCAGCAGUGGGGAAUAUUGCACAAUGGGGGAAACCCUGAUGCAGCGACGCCGCGUGAGUGAAGAAGUAUUUCGGUAUGUAAAGCUCUAUCAGCAGGGAAGAAAAUGACGGUACCUGACUAAGAAG